AAGCAGGUUCCAGCAUAGAUGAAAGUACGGAGCCAACCAUCCUUAGUAAACAAUUGAUUCCAUAUGUGAUUCGGGGGAAAAGGUUGAACUGUUGAGUCAUUUGCCAUAAAUGAUGACAUUCAUUUUAAAUCUAUCCCAGUCUGCUUGUCUGGCAUAAAGCCAGAGUACCAAAAAAAAAAAAUGUUCUAAGGAAUUAGUCAGUUUUUCUGUAAGCAAGCUUUUGUGAAUCGUAUAAAGGACUACUCCUCUCUGACUCAGAAUUGUCAGUGUCCAAUGUUUUUGUCAAGUGCUUUGGAAAAACUGUAAAUGUUAAACCAUCCACCCACCAGAGAGAAGUCUGCACAGAAAGAUCUCAGCGCACUGAAUCGCCCAGCCAGAAGCCAACUCAGCAUUUCUUCUUUAUUUACUAAUAAACUACAACUCAUUCUUUAUCUAAAGGUCACGCUUUUGUCAUGGAUCGGACAUUGUGUCUGUGUGCCGCUCUGUUUCCUCAUUCGCCUCACCACUUGCUAAAGAUAGCACCAUUAAACAUCAUGGAACAAAAAAUGAUUCAAUAAUGAAGCUGCUUUUGGCCUAAAAUGGUCAAAGAAAAAAAAAGCUUCCCUGACGUCCUGACAGCAUGUCCAUGCUCAGAUUUUGAAGAGAUGUAUGGUAAAUGCACAAUAACAGCUCAAGAGAGUAUUUAACUGUUUGAUAUUCGUCAUAGGUAGCCAUAAACCAAUAAAUAACCACAAAUGGCUGAGUAUGCACUUUAAUAAAACCAACCAAAAUCUACAUAUUUGGAUGGCUUUGGAUCCAGAUGUUCACUUCCCCAUGGUUUUACUGCACUGUACAGCAAAAAAAAAAAAGAAAAAGAAAAGAAAAGUUUUCAGCAAUUUCAGCUGCCCAGCUCAAAGUGUUUUCUAGUGUCAGCACACUGCAUCUGACUAUAACAGGCACCAUAGUUCAAGUCAAAGCUGAGAUCUUCUAAUACCAUAUAGCUGCAGAGGAAAAGCCAUACAAGUAGAGGCCAUAAAAGGCUACUGACUUAACAUAUUUACAUUCAGUACUUAAUUACCCAGAAUAACCUGUGACGCUAUUGGCAGUAGUGCAGUCAAAAUAAGAGAAAUCCUGGGACUGCUGAGCUACUACACCACAUACUUUCCUCAGGAAUGGAAUGCUGCUGCUGCUCCUCAAGUCUGAGGGAGGAGGUCGCUGUUUUCCCUCACUCAAAGGUAUUUUUUGAAUACCUUGUAGUGGAGAGCUGACUCAAAAAUAUAGGAGUAGGAGGAGAAGAAGGAGGAGGGGGUGGUGAACAUACUUAGAGAGCAACAGGUUUAUGACUUCCUUUAGAAAUCUGAAGUUUUUCUUGGCUAAUGCUGGCAACGUGAGCUGACUUUGUGCAGAUUAGUUUUGUAAAGUAAGCAAAAGCAGUCGCCAGCAGUAUCUGUCUUCUAUUUAUGGCCUCCCCCAGGCCUCCCCCCCCCUCCCCACCCCACCUCCCCAGACUGACGUCAGCACAAAGUUAUUUUCAUGAAUGGAGGGGGCGGUCACGAGGAAUCGGUGACGUGAGUGCUUGCGGAAGCAGAGCGUGGAAUGUUGGUACAUUGUUGUUGUUUUGUAGUUAAUUUAGUACGAGGAUACGCCGCUGCCCGUCUGUGCUGGACGCUUUUUACCAAGUUUGUCAACUUGCUUCACCGGUUGUCGAGGAAACAUACUUUGACAGUUUUACACACUCCGGUCCACAGAUAUCUGAGUCCACAGAGGUGAGGAUGUAUUUUUUUUAAAUUAUUUAUUUUUUUCGGGAAGAUGUUUUGACAUUCCUUUCUAAAUUACUCGAGUUCUCACGGUGACAUAGUGGCGCACGCAAACAGGCUUGUGUUGUGCAUCCUCUUCGUAGGAUAAGUUUUGAUCCCAGUUAUGAAAGCUCAUGUUGAUUUCGUAGAUUUGUUUCUUUCGGGCGGACACGUGUUGUGCUGGAGAUACAUAAUACAGUGCUUCAAAAGUGGCGCAGACCUCCGAGCAGUCGCAUAUAGGAAGUUAGAAAUUGUAUGAAAAUAUGUAAAAGGGGGAAACAAACGUGUGUUUUGUCGCUUUCCUGCGAUUUGAAAUAGUUCUUUGAAAAUAACAGCGGUGAUUAUGACACUGACUGAAUGCGGUCCCUUUAAAAAAAAUUAUAGCUAAUAAUUUUUAUAAACUGUAUAACGAGCGAGGAGACGUUUUCGACCAGCAUUGUGGGAGGGAAGAAAAAUAAGACGAUAAAAAUCACACUAUUUCUUCGCACUUCUCAUUAAAAGUAAAGCUAAAGUUACAGAAUGUGUUACAAAAUAUGUUUAUAUACUAUUACUAAGCAUGCCUGAACCUCUAAGGUUUUAGAUUAUAACUUUUUCUAGAACGAAAAAAACCCAAACCCCAAAAUUGCAUUCCCCCCCAUGUGUGUUUAUUUAUAGCAUUUCUGUGACUUGAAUGAGAUUUUCGGAAAAUGGAAGUGAAAUAAACUUCCUCACUUUCCUA
This is a long non-coding RNA of Astatotilapia calliptera (eastern happy), 2493 nucleotides long. Lineage: Eukaryota; Metazoa; Chordata; Actinopteri; Cichliformes; Cichlidae. The record is from Ensembl.